This 253-nucleotide ribosomal RNA is filed under the name uncultured bacterium. RNAcentral's name for it is "partial 16S ribosomal RNA". It matches the Rfam family "Bacterial small subunit ribosomal RNA", at positions 524 to 776 of the family's 1533-position model. The record is from RNAcentral.
UACGAAGGGGGCUAGCGUUGCUCGGAAUCACUGGGCGUAAAGCGCACGUAGGCGGAUUGCUAAGUCAGGGAUGAAAUCCUGGAGCUCAACUCCAGAACUGCCUUUGAUACUGGCGAUCUCGAGUUCGGGAGAGGUGAGUGGAACUGCGAGUGUAGAGGUGAAAUUCGUAGAUAUUCGCAAGAACACCAGUGGCGAAGGCGGCUCACUGGCCCGAUACUGACGCUGAGGUGCGAAAGCGUGGGGAGCAAACAGG